AGCGUACACGGUGGAUGCCCUGGCAGUCAGAGGCGAUGAAGGACGUGCUAAUCUGCGAUAAGCGUCGGUGAGGUGAUAUGAACCGUUAUAACCGGCGAUUUCCGAAUGGGGAAACCCAGUGUGUUUCGACACACUAUCAUUAACUGAAUCCAUAGGUUAAUGAGGCGAACCGGGGGAACUGAAACAUCUAAGUACCCCGAGGAAAAGAAAUCAACCGAGAUUCCCCCAGUAGCGGCGAGCGAACGGGGAGGAGCCCAGAGCCUGAAUCAGUGUGUGUGUUAGUGGAAGCGUCUGGAAAGGCGCGCGAUACAGGGUGACAGCCCCGUACACAAAAAUGCACAUAUUGUGAGCUCGAUGAGUAGGGCGGGACACGUGGUAUCCUGUCUGAAUAUGGGGGGACCAUCCUCCAAGGCUAAAUACUCCUGACUGACCGAUAGUGAACCAGUACCGUGAGGGAAAGGCGAAAAGAACCCCGGCGAGGGGAGUGAAAAAGAACCUGAAACCGUGUACGUACAAGCAGUGGGAGCCUCUUAAUGGGGUGACUGCGUACCUUUUGUAUAAUGGGUCAGCGACUUAUAUUCUGUAGCAAGGUUAACCGAANNNNNNNGCCGAAGGGAAACCGAGUCUUAACUGGGCGUUAAGUUGCAGGGUAUAGACCCGAAACCCGGUGAUCUAGCCAUGGGCAGGUUGAAGGUUGGGUAACACUAACUGGAGGACCGAACCGACUAAUGUUGAAAAAUUAGCGGAUGACUUGUGGCUGGGGGUGAAAGGCCAAUCAAACCGGGAGAUAGCUGGUUCUCCCCGAAAGCUAUUUAGGUAGCGCCUCGUGAAUUCAUCUCCGGGGGUAGAGCACUGUUUCGGCAAGGGGGUCAUCCCGACUUACCAACCCGAUGCAAACUGCGAAUACCGGAGAAUGUUAUCACGGGAGACACACGGCGGGUGCUAACGUCCGUCGUGAAGAGGGAAACAACCCAGACCGCCAGCUAAGGUCCCAAAGUCAUGGUUAAGUGGGAAACGAUGUGGGAAGGCCCAGACAGCCAGGAUGUUGGCUUAGAAGCAGCCAUCAUUUAAAGAAAGCGUAAUAGCUCACUGGUCGAGUCGGCCUGCGCGGAAGAUGUAACGGGGCUAAACCAUGCACCGAAGCUGCGGCAGCGACACUAUGUGUUGUUGGGUAGGGGAGCGUUCUGUAAGCCUGUGAAGGUGUACUGUGAGGUAUGCUGGAGGUAUCAGAAGUGCGAAUGCUGACAUAAGUAACGAUAAAGCGGGUGAAAAGCCCGCUCGCCGGAAGACCAAGGGUUCCUGUCCAACGUUAAUCGGGGCAGGGUGAGUCGACCCCUAAGGCGAGGCCGAAAGGCGUAGUCGAUGGGAAACAGGUUAAUAUUCCUGUACUUGGUGUUACUGCGAAGGGGGGACGGAGAAGGCUAUGUUGGCCGGGCGACGGUUGUCCCGGUUUAAGCGUGUAGGCUGGUUUUCCAGGCAAAUCCGGAAAAUCAAGGCUGAGGCGUGAUGACGAGGCACUACGGUGCUGAAGCGACAAAUGCCCUGCUUCCAGGAAAAGCCUCUAAGCAUCAGGUAACAUCAAAUCGUACCCCAAACCGACACAGGUGGUCAGGUAGAGAAUACCAAGGCGCUUGAGAGAACUCGGGUGAAGGAACUAGGCAAAAUGGUGCCGUAACUUCGGGAGAAGGCACGCUGAUAUGUAGGUGAAGCGACUUGCUCGUGGAGCUGAAAUCAGUCGAAGAUACCAGCUGGCUGCAACUGUUUAUUAAAAACACAGCACUGUGCAAACACGAAAGUGGACGUAUACGGUGUGACGCCUGCCCGGUGCCGGAAGGUUAAUUGAUGGGGUUAGCGGUAACGCGAAGCUCUUGAUCGAAGCCCCGGUAAACGGCGGCCGUAACUAUAACGGUCCUAAGGUAGCGAAAUUCCUUGUCGGGUAAGUUCCGACCUGCACGAAUGGCGUAAUGAUGGCCAGGCUGUCUCCACCCGAGACUCAGUGAAAUUGAACUCGCUGUGAAGAUGCAGUGUACCCGCGGCAAGACGGAAAGACCCCGUGAACCUUUACUAUAGCUUGACACUGAACAUUGAGCCUUGAUGUGUAGGAUAGGUGGGAGGCUUUGAAGUGUGGACGCCAGUCUGCAUGGAGCCGACCUUGAAAUACCACCCUUUAAUGUUUGAUGUUCUAACGUGGGCCCCUUACCGGGGUUGCGGACAGUGUCUGGUGGGUAGUUUGACUGGGGCGGUCUCCUCCUAAAGAGUAACGGAGGAGCACGAAGGUUGGCUAAUCCUGGUCGGACAUCAGGAGGUUAGUGCAAUGGCAUAAGCCAGCUUGACUGCGAGCGUGACGGCGCGAGCAGGUGCGAAAGCAGGUCAUAGUGAUCCGGUGGUUCUGAAUGGAAGGGCCAUCGCUCAACGGAUAAAAGGUACUCCGGGGAUAACAGGCUGAUACCGCCCAAGAGUUCAUAUCGACGGCGGUGUUUGGCACCUCGAUGUCGGCUCAUCACAUCCUGGGGCUGAAGUAGGUCCCAAGGGUAUGGCUGUUCGCCAUUUAAAGUGGUACGCGAGCUGGGUUUAGAACGUCGUGAGACAGUUCGGUCCCUAUCUGCCGUGGGCGCUGGAGAACUGAGGGGGGCUGCUCCUAGUACGAGAGGACCGGAGUGGACGCAUCACUGGUGUUCGGGUUGUCAUGCCAAUGGCACUGCCCGGUAGCUAAAUGCGGAAGAGAUAAGUGCUGAAAGCAUCUAAGCACGAAACUUGCCCCGAGAUGAGUUCUCCCUGACUCCUUGA
Molecule: ribosomal RNA, 2787 nt
Filed under: Escherichia coli
Lineage: Bacteria; Pseudomonadati; Pseudomonadota; Gammaproteobacteria; Enterobacterales; Enterobacteriaceae
Description: bacterial LSU rRNA
Rfam family: Bacterial large subunit ribosomal RNA
Source: RNAcentral